AUAAAGUAGCAAAUACUUUGGUGGCGACCGGCGCACGGGUGAGUAACGCGUAUGCAACCUCACUUACCAGAGGGGAAUAACCCGGCGAAAGGCGGACUAAUACCGCAUAAAACAGGGGCACCGCAUGGUGAUAUUUGUUAAAGAAAUUCGCUGAUAGAUGGGCAUGCGUUCCAUUAGGUAGUUGGUGAGGUAACGGCUCACCAAGCCGACGAUGGAUAGGGGAACUGAGAGGUUGGUCCCCCACACUGGUACUGAGACACGGACCAGACUCCUACGGGAGGCAGCAGUGAGGAAUAUUGGUCAAUGGGCGAGAGCCUGAACCAGCCAAGUCGCGUGAAGGAAGAAGGAUCUAUGGUUCGUAAACUUCUUUUGCAGGGGAAUAAAGUGCAGGACGUGUCCUGUUUUGUAUGUACCCUGAGAAUAAGGAUCGGCUAACUCCGUGCCAGCAGCCGCGGUAAUACGGAGGAUCCGAGCGUUAUCCGGAUUUAUUGGGUUUAAAGGGUGCGUAGGUGGUUUGAUAAGUCAGCGGUGAAAGUUUGCAGCUUAACUGUAAAAAUGCCGUUGAAACUGUCGGACUUGAGUGUAAAUGAGGUAGGCGGAAUGCGUGGUGUAGCGGUGAAAUGCUUAGAUAUCACGAAGAACUCCGAUUG
This 650-nucleotide ribosomal RNA is filed under the name uncultured Bacteroidales bacterium. Its description in RNAcentral is "bacterial SSU rRNA". It matches the Rfam family "Bacterial small subunit ribosomal RNA", at positions 71 to 715 of the family's 1533-position model. Lineage: Bacteria; Pseudomonadati; Bacteroidota; Bacteroidia; Bacteroidales. The record is from RNAcentral.